Molecule: long non-coding RNA, 952 nt
Organism: Pseudoliparis swirei
Lineage: Eukaryota; Metazoa; Chordata; Actinopteri; Perciformes; Liparidae
Exons: 2
Source: RefSeq, a predicted model, not a curated record
CAUGCUUUGCAGAGGCUCCCGCGUCGCUCUCAUUGCUCGUCCCAGCCUCUUGCCGCACGGAGCCUCUGCUUGUCCGCUGCCACUCCGAAAGGAACCGGGAAUACAAGCGACUGCCUCCGCGAUGUAAUGAUCUGCAGUGAGGUGUUAAUGCUUGAGUGAAGUGAAAAUACAGCAGAGCACGGAUACGUAUCAGAGCGCCGUGUUCUGGGUUCCACCAUAUGGCGUGCACCAUAUCAUGGUGCACUGUGGGCUAAUGGAGGACUUUUAAACUUUCUGCAGUUUUGGACAAAUCAGUCGACGGGAAGCAUCACGCCGAGCUCUUUUGCGCCUGCACAGGCGGCCUGGAAUUUAUCAUCACUUUGGCCCAAAAUCUCACUGCUGUGUUGCGUUUAAGUUAUUCCUGUAAACUAUAACCUCUUGUUCCUCAAAUUUAAUGUUGUGGAUUAUUUAAUUUUGUACAUAAUACGGUAGACCUGCACAGCCACCAGGAGAGGAUUGGAUCUCUUUGGACCCGUUCUUGGGAUUUGUUUUCUAAAUUUUUGACCAUAAUUGUCACACACCACGGGCCUCGAGGGCUACACAAGCAUAUGAUUUAUAUGUGUAAAAACAGGUUUGACAGAAAGGUAUACGACGCCUGCUUCCCACAGUAGAGUGAAUGCAGUCGGACACACACGACACAUGCACACACACUUGCGCACGCAACCACGCACAUACGAGCGGGAUGCGUCUCUCCGUGUUCACAGCGGACCUUGAUUUAAUGUCUUACAAUUAAGGCACGCGGUGAAUGCCAAGAGAUGAUCCUUCUUUCUUCGGAUGUCUGCAGAGCCAAUAAACACGUGACAUUUAGAGAGUAGCCUAUCGGUGUGGUUUCCUCAGUGAAGGUUUGCUUCUGUCACGCAUGACUGUCUCCUUCCCCCUCUCCACCAAAAAUAAAGUAAAUACACACAACCAC